CCUACGGGGGGCUGCAGUGGGGAAUAUUGGACAAUGGGCGAAAGCCUGAUCCAGCCAUGCCGCGUGUGUGAAGAAGGCCUUCGGGUUGUAAAGCACUUUCAGUGGGGAAGAAAGCCUUGGGGCUAAUACCCUCGAGGAAGGACAUCACCCACAGAAGAAGCACCGGCUAACUCCGUGCCAGCAGCCGCGGUAAUACGGAGGGUGCGAGCGUUAAUCGGAAUUACUGGGCGUAAAGCGCGCGUAGGCGGUCUGAUAAGCCGGUUGUGAAAGCCCCGGGCUCAACCUGGGAACGGCAUCCGGAACUGUCAGGCUAGAGUGCAGGAGAGGAAGGUAGAAUUCCCGGUGUAGCGGUGAAAUGCGUAGAGAUCGGGAGGAGUACCAGUGGCGAAGGCGGCCUUCUGGACUGACACUGACGCUGAGGUGCGAAAGCGUGGGUAGCAAACAGGAUUAGAUACCCGAGUAGUC
Molecule: ribosomal RNA, 465 nt
Filed under: Vreelandella stevensii
Lineage: Bacteria; Pseudomonadati; Pseudomonadota; Gammaproteobacteria; Oceanospirillales; Halomonadaceae
Description: partial 16S ribosomal RNA
Rfam family: Bacterial small subunit ribosomal RNA
Source: RNAcentral